GGCGAACGGGUGAGUAACGCGUGGGUAACCUGCCUCUGAAUCUGGAAUAACCCGCCGAAAGGCGGACUAAUACCGGAUAUUGUCCCGGAGUCGCAUGACACUGGGAUGAAAGAUGACCUCUUCACGAAAGUUGUCGUUCAGGGAGGGGCUCGCGUACCAUUAGCUAGUUGGUAGGGUAAUGGCCUACCAAGGCGACGAUGGUUAGCUGGUCUGAGAGGAUGAUCAGCCACACUGGAACUGAAACACGGUCCAGACUCCUACGGGAGGCAGCAGUGAGGAAUUUUGCGCAAUAGGGGAAACCCUGACGCAGCAACGCCGCGUGAGUGAAGAAGGCCUUCGGGUCGUAAAGCUCUGUCAAGUGGGACAAAAUCCUGCGGGUAAAUAGCCCGCUGGAGUGAUGGUACUGCUAGAGGAAGCACCGGCUAACUCCGUGCCAGCAGCCGCGGUAAUACGGAGGGUGCAAGCGUUGUUCGGAAUUACUGGGCGUAAAGCGCGUGCAGGCGGUUCGGUAAGUCAGAUGUGAAAGCCCUGGGCUCAACCCAGGAAGUGCAUUUGAUACUGCCGUGCUAGAGUAU
RNAcentral lists this ribosomal RNA (575 nucleotides) under uncultured Pseudomonadota bacterium. Its description in RNAcentral is "bacterial SSU rRNA". It matches the Rfam family "Bacterial small subunit ribosomal RNA", at positions 97 to 649 of the family's 1533-position model. Lineage: Bacteria; Pseudomonadati; Pseudomonadota. The record is from RNAcentral.